AGCGAACGCUGGCGGCAGGCCUAACACAUGCAAGUCGAACGAACUCUUCGUAGUUAGUGGCGGACGGGUGAGUAACACGUCGGAACGUGCCUUUUGACUCGGAAUAACUCAGUGACACUUGUGCUAAUACCGAAUGUGCCCUUCGGGUGCAAGAUUGAUCGCCAUUAUAGCGGCCCGCGUCUGAUUAGCUAGUUGGUGAGGUAACGGCUUAUCACGGCUUCGCUCAGUAGCUGGUCUGAGAGAAUGACCAGCCACACUGGGACUCAGACGCGGCCCAGAAUCUUACGGGAGGCAGGAGUGGGGGAUCUUGCGAAAUGGGGGGAAGGCUGAAGCAGCCAGGGCGGGUGAAUGAUGAAGGUGGUAGGAAAAUAAAAUUCUUUAACCGGGGACGAUAAUGACGGUACCCGGAGAAGAAGCCCCGGCUAACUUCGUG
RNAcentral lists this ribosomal RNA (433 nucleotides) under uncultured bacterium. RNAcentral describes it as "partial 16S ribosomal RNA". It matches the Rfam family "Bacterial small subunit ribosomal RNA", at positions 29 to 507 of the family's 1533-position model. The record is from RNAcentral.